UCCUUGUAAAGCUCUUUCGCCAGGGAAGAAACGUUACAGUCUAAUAAACUGUGAUACUGACGGUACCUUGAUAAGAAGCACCGGCUAACUACGUGCCAGCAGCCGCGGUAAUACUUAGGGUGCGAGCGUUAAUCGGAAUUACUGGGCGUAAAGCGUGCGCAAGGCGGUUUUGUAAGUCAGAUGUGAAAUCCCCGAGCUCAACUUGGGAACUGCGUUUGAAACUGCAAGGCUUGAGUAUGGUAGAGGGGGGUAGAAUUCCACGUGUAGCAGUGAAAUGCGUAGAGAUGUGGAGGAAUACCAAUGGCGAAGGCAGCCCCCUGGACUAAUACUGACGCUCAUGCACUAAAAGCGUGGGGAGCAAACAGGAUUAGAUACCCUGG
This 380-nucleotide ribosomal RNA is filed under the name uncultured beta proteobacterium. RNAcentral's name for it is "bacterial SSU rRNA". It matches the Rfam family "Bacterial small subunit ribosomal RNA", at positions 420 to 790 of the family's 1533-position model. Lineage: Bacteria; Pseudomonadati; Pseudomonadota; Betaproteobacteria. The record is from RNAcentral.